Long non-coding RNA from Pteropus alecto (black flying fox), 1108 nucleotides. RefSeq lists it as uncharacterized. The record is from RefSeq and is a predicted model, not a curated record. Lineage: Eukaryota; Metazoa; Chordata; Mammalia; Chiroptera; Pteropodidae. The transcript is spliced from 3 exons.
UAGAAGUCACCCUGCUUCAACACUUCUUAACCACAUCAGGAGAGAGAUGUCUGUUUCAGUGAACUUGAUACUUCAGGAUGCAGAGAAACAGAAAUUGAAUACAUGUAAUAGGUCAUUGGCAGAGAGUGGAUCAAGAGAAUUCAAGGAUCAGAAUGUAAUAGGAGCAAGGUUUGGAGUCAGACAAUCAAUGAAAGAACUUUAUUGAGUUCUCCAAGGUAUUUAAUCUAUACAAUCAUAAGUAUACCAAAAGUCGAUAUAAGCAAGAGGAAAAAUGUGUUUCAAAGGAAAGGAGGUAAACCAUUUGAGAAUAGAGCCACGAAAGGGUCAGUUUGAUUUACAUAAUAAUAUUGACUGCAAAAGGAGACUCCUUUUUGGUGAGACCACUUCUGAGCUUGAAGCAGCUGUAAUGAAAAACGGAAAAAAGGUCAUGGCUGCCUUCCAAAUUUAGCAGAAGUGAUUCCUCCUCUAUGAAGGAACAGAAUUCCUUCACCACUAUGGUCAUGAUCGUCGCGGCCCUCAACCGCCCUUUCUGUUUCCUAUACGGUACUGACAUUUGUUAUAGAAGUCAUGUAGAGACAAUUGCAAAAUGAUUUUAAUUGGAAUUUCAGAUACAUGACUUGCAGAUUUAUCAGCUGUGCAAAUUUAGUCAAAUUGUUUAACUCUCCUGAGCUUGCAUCCCUUCAUCUUUAAAGUGGAGCCGAAUACGUCUACCCUGUAGGUUACACUAAAGGUUAACUGAGUUCACACAUGUAAAGACCAUCGUACAGCAUCUGUCCUGUGUAAACAAGAAAGGAUAGUUUUCAUGAUGAUAAUGAAGAUGAGAGUGAUGACAUACCCUCACUGUGGGGCCUUCAAAUCUUUGAAGCAAACUUUAGUAAUCUUGUUAUCUCCAGAGCCCAGGACUUUCACAUUGCAGAUUAUGACACAUCUCUGUUGAAUUUAAAAAUAUUGACUAUAAGUACCUACUCGGGAGGCAAUGUGUAGCAAUAAGAAAAAAGUGUAAGAAGAGGACAAAAAGACUACCUAUGGAAAGUUUCUGGAUACUAAAUCAACGUUCAAAAAUUCAUAGCGCCCCUGUAUUCUAAUAAUGAAGUGUCGGAAAAAGAAA